Molecule: ribosomal RNA, 360 nt
Filed under: uncultured bacterium
Lineage: Bacteria
Description: partial 16S ribosomal RNA
Rfam family: Bacterial small subunit ribosomal RNA
Source: RNAcentral
CCUACGGGGGACAGCAGUGAGGAAUAUUGGUCAAUGGGCGCGAGCCUGAACCAGCCAAGUCGCGUGAGGGAAGACGGUCCUAUGGAUUGUAAACCUCUUUUGUCGGGGAGCCAAAGACGCCACGCGUGGCGUUCCGAGAGUACCCGAAGAAAAAGCAUCGGCUAACUCCGUGCCAGCAGCCGCGGUAAUCCGGAGGAUGCGAGCGUUAUCCGGAUUUAUUGGGUUUAAAGGGUGCGCAGGUGGAAGAUCAAGUCAGCGGUAAAAUUGAGAGGCUCAACCUCUUCGAGCCGUUGAAACUGGUUAUCUUGAGUGAGCGAGAAGGAUGCGGAAAGUGUGGUGUAGCGGUGAAAUGCAUAGAUA